AGUGAACGCUGGCGGCAUGCCUAACACAUGCAAGUCGAACGGCAGCACAGCAGUAGCAAUACUGUGGGUGGCGAGUGGCGGACGGGUGAGGAACACAUCGGAAUUUGCCCAGUCGUGGGGGAUAACGUAGCGAAAGUUACGCUAAUACCGCAUACGAUCUACGGAUGAAAGCGGGGGAUCGCAAGACCUCGCGCGAAUGGAGCGGCCGAUAUCAGAUUAGGUAGUUGGUGGGGUAAAGGCUCACCAAGCCAACGAUCUGUAGCUGGUCUGAGAGGACGACCAGCCACACUGGAACUGAGACACGGUCCAGACUCCUACGGAGGCAGCAGUGGGGAAUUUUGGACAAUGGGCGCAAGCCUGAUCCAGCAACGCCGCGUGAGGGAGAAGGCUUUCGGGUUGUAAACCUCUGUCCUUGGUGACGAAAAAUGACGUAGCCAAGGAGGAAGCCCGGCUAACUACGUGCCAGCAGCCGCGGUAAACGUAGCGU
This 487-nucleotide ribosomal RNA is filed under the name uncultured bacterium. Its description in RNAcentral is "bacterial SSU rRNA". It matches the Rfam family "Bacterial small subunit ribosomal RNA", at positions 29 to 533 of the family's 1533-position model. The record is from RNAcentral.